GCAGGUAUAGCUCAAUGUUAGAGCGUCAGAUUUCGGUCUGAAGGUGGUAGGUUCAAUUCCUUCUACCUGCUCCA
Molecule: transfer RNA, 74 nt
Filed under: bacterium
Lineage: Bacteria
Description: tRNA-OTHER
Rfam family: tRNA
About the family: Transfer RNA (tRNA) molecules are approximately 80 nucleotides in length. Their secondary structure includes four short double-helical elements and three loops (D, anti-codon, and T loops).
Source: RNAcentral